UGCCAUCAUGCACAUCAAUUUUUGUUCUUGCUGUGUUCAAGAAUGGUCUCCCAAGUAAGAUAUCAGAGGUGAUGUUGCCCUUAUCCUCCUCCAUGUCAAUCACAUAAAAAUCAGCUGGGAAGACUAGUUGGUCCACUUGCACCAACACAUCUUCAAGCACUCCCUUGGGGUGGACAAUGGAUCGGUCAGCCAGUUGGAUCACAAUGCUGGUGCCCUUGAGUGUACCUGCAUUUAACAAGUUAAAAAUAGAAAGAGGCAUGACAUUUAUUGAAGCUCCAAGGUCACACAUGGCCUUCUUUAUUCCCACAUUGCCUAUUUUGCAUGAAACCGCAAACAUUCCUCUAUCUUUGCAUUUGACUGGUAGUUUCCUUUGGAUGACAGCUGAAACACA
RNAcentral lists this long non-coding RNA (391 nucleotides) under Manihot esculenta (cassava). RNAcentral describes it as "long non-coding RNA (MESC_LNC008746)". Lineage: Eukaryota; Viridiplantae; Streptophyta; Magnoliopsida; Malpighiales; Euphorbiaceae. The record is from RNAcentral.